AUACGGAGGGUGCAAGCGUUAUCCGGAUUUACUGGGUUUAAAGGGUACGCAGGCGGUAAUUUAAGUCAGUGGUGAAAGCCUACAGCUCAACUGUAGAACUGCCAUUGAAACUGAAUUACUUGAGUAUGAUAGAGGUAGGCGGAAUACAACAUGUAGCGGUGAAAUGCAUAGAUAUGUUGUAGAACACCGAUUGCGAAGGCAGCUUACUAAACCAUUACUGACGCUCAUGUACGAAAGCGUGGGGAGCGAACAGAAUUAGAAACCCUAGUAGUCC
RNAcentral lists this ribosomal RNA (274 nucleotides) under uncultured bacterium. Its description in RNAcentral is "partial 16S ribosomal RNA". It matches the Rfam family "Bacterial small subunit ribosomal RNA", at positions 523 to 796 of the family's 1533-position model. The record is from RNAcentral.